ACAGAUUGGGAUUAGACAUCUUAGAGUGCAACAGACAGAUCGGAUUAAUUCACAUAAGGAAACAACCAAAAGGAUUUUCAACUAACACCAGAAACAGAAGUGUAGUUGUUCCAUAGAUCAUGUAGGCCGGACAUGCUAGAAAUAUAAGAAAAGGGGUAAAAGUUAAUAUAAAUUGUAUUUGGAUAUUAAAUUAUAAAUCAACAUAUUUCUUAAUUAGGAGGUAGAAUCUAUCGGAACGAAUUUUUUCAUUUACGAUUUCAUACAAAACCAGCUGUCGUUUUGACGCAAAUGCAAUGCCAAUAGUCCAAACAACAUGAACAGCAUUGUGAAUAAUUACAAAACCAACUAUAGAUUUCAUCAGAUGGGUUUUACAAAGUUUGUUUACACUAUUAUCUUUUGCUUAAAAAAAUUAUUGAUGGGCAUUAAUCAUAAAUAUUCUAUACCUUGAUUUUCAGUCCUAUGCAAUAGAAUUGAAAUUACUUUUCAAUCCUUUGAUUAUCUGCCUUCUCUGCUGUGUAAAAAAUGAGAAAAUAAACAAUCCAACCUUUCAUUUACACUCCCUACUUUCUACCUUCCAUUUUCCACAUUCAAGUAAAGGUCUAAGAUAAAAUCCAAAACUGGAAGGUAGAAGUUUCAUUCAAAGCAAGCAACGGUGAAAAUUAGAACCAUAAGAGUCAAAGAUUCGACCAAAAAUUUUUCCAAUACCAUGAUAAGAUUAAUCGAUAAGGAGGACAGAGUGCAUUGGGGCAUAUCGCCCAACAAUAAAAAGCAAAAAUAUAAGGCCUCUGAGUAAAACAGAGUGUGUUUGGUCAUUGUUACCAUAAUAAAAAAUAAAAACUAUAUGAUAGACUACAUACACAAAAAUUAAUAUUAGGCCCAAAAUGUUCUGCAAGUUUAUUCUCACAGAUAGGUGGGGAUUAACACCUAUUGCAGGAAAGUUAGUAAGAAAGAAAAUAGAUUUGUGGGGAUUUGCCAAACAAUAUGGUUAGUCGUGGGGAGGAAGGGGUAUGGAAUUUGUUUCACCUUUUCAGCUAAGCUCGGGACUAGAUGUUUUCUCUUUGGCUGAAAGCUUUGAUCUUGAUUUAGUUUAUUUUCUUUUAAUUAAUUUUCUCAGUAGUCAACAAUGAUUUAAAUCUCCUUGACUUUUCCUAUCAAAUACAAAUAUAUUUAUUAUAACAAAACUGUUCAUUUAUUUAUACAUCAAGAGCAAAUAAGGAGGCUAGACUUUAGCAAGGGAGGCAAAAGCAAACAUAAAAACCUAGAGUGAAGCUUAAUAUUUCCGUCCCAUUUUCCCACAUCUUUCCUCAUCUUUGUUAGCACCAAGUUAUCCAUUUUUUUCCAGGCCCUGAUGCCAAUGAAAUUGCAUCCGAGGUAUAAAGCAUUGAUUUUAAAAAAAAAUGACGACCUCAUCACUGCCAAUGGGGCAAUUCGAGUGUGUAUAAUUCACCGAUGACACCAGAUUAACAUAGAAAGAGGAUCUUAAUAGCAAAGUCAUGGCAGUUGUUUGAGAGAUAAAAGGUUUAGCUCGUGAGAAAAUAGGUUUAUUUGUAAGGUUUAGCUCAUGAGAAGAUAGGUUUGUUUGUAAUGUUGUUUGAUACUUUUUGGUCACAACUAUAUUUUCCUUGUAUUACAUCAAGCCCAAUCUAAGCAUUGUAUAACAUUUUUACAACAUCUAGGAUUCGAUGCAUCUCGUACAGUUUUUAGGACACUCAACAAUUGGCCACUUAAAUUUAAGUCAAAGCUACAAGUGUAUUGCAUUGCUUAUCUCCAAUUCUUUUCUUGAUGUAGAUAGGACACUAAUGAGUCUGGUAAAACUUAAUAGAUAAAGUGACACGUUAUUUUUUAUCAUUGAACUAGCCGGUGGUUUAUUCUGCAAUCUUGGAAUAUAUUGGAAGCUUCUGCCUUCAAAACUAUCCAAUAUCAAAUUUGAUUAAAGAGUUAAAUGUUCAAUAUUGCUCUUGUGGAAAGAUCAAAUGCCAUUUGAAUCAUUUAUAUCAGCUACUUUGACUGAACUUGGUAACACCUCCACGCAUUGAUCACAUAAAAUUA
This 2049-nucleotide long non-coding RNA is filed under the name Trifolium pratense (red clover). Its description in RNAcentral is "long non-coding RNA (TPRA_LNC001601)". The record is from RNAcentral. Lineage: Eukaryota; Viridiplantae; Streptophyta; Magnoliopsida; Fabales; Fabaceae.